CCUACGGGAGGCUGCAGUGAGGAAUAUUGGUCAAUGGGCGCUAGCCUGAACCAGCCAAGUAGCGUGAAGGAUGACUGCCCUAUGGGUUGUAAACUUCUUUUAUAUGUUAAUCCAUUGCAGUAUGUAUACUGCUUUUCAUGUACCUUAUGAAUAAGGAUCGGCUAACUCCGUGCCAGCAGCCGCGGUAAUACGGAGGAUCCGCGCGUUAUCCGGAUUUAUUGGGUUUAAAGGGAGCGUAGUCGGGUUGUUAAGUCAGUUUUGAAAGUUUGCGGAUCACACGUAAAAUUGCAGUUGAUACUGGCAUCCUUGAGUACAGUAGAGGUAGGCGGAAUGCGUGGUGUAGCGGUGAAAUGCUUAGAUAUAAAGAAGAACUGAGAUUGAGAAGGCAGCCUGAUGGACUGUAAAGGACGCUGAUGCUCGAAAGUGUGGGUAUAAAAAAGGAGGAGAGAAAAGGGUAGUC
This 460-nucleotide ribosomal RNA is filed under the name uncultured bacterium. RNAcentral describes it as "partial 16S ribosomal RNA". It matches the Rfam family "Bacterial small subunit ribosomal RNA", at positions 338 to 795 of the family's 1533-position model. The record is from RNAcentral.